AGAGUUUGAUCAUGGCUCAGGACGAACGCUGGCGGCGUGCCUAAUACAUGCAAGUCGAGCGAAUCAAUAGGAGCUUGCUCCUUUUGAUUAGCGGCGGACGGGUGAGUAACACGUGGGCAACCUGCCUGUAAGACUGGGAUAACACCGGGAAACCGGUGCUAAUACCGGAUAAUCCUUUCCCUCACAUGUGGGGAAGCUGAAAGUCGGUUACGGCUGACACUUACAGAUGGGCCCGCGGCGCAUUAGCUAGUUGGUGAGGUAACUGCUCACCAAGGCGACGAUGCGUAGCCGACCUGAGAGGGUGAUCGGCCACACUGGGACUGAGACACGGCCCAGACUCCUACGGGAGGCAGCAGUAGGGAAUCUUCCACAAUGGACGAAAGUCUGAUGGAGCAACGCCGCGUGAGCGAUGAAGGCCUUCGGGUCGUAAAGCUCUGUUGUUAGGGAAGAACAAGUAUCGGAGUAACUGCCGGUACCUUGACGGUACCUAACCAGAAAGCCACGGCUAACUACGUGCCAGCAGCCGCGGUAAUACGUAGGUGGCAAGCGUUGUCCGGAAUUAUUGGGCGUAAAGCGCGCGCAGGCGGUCCUUUAAGUCUGAUGUGAAAGCCCACGGCUCAACCGUGGAGGGUCAUUGGAAACUGGGGGACUUGAGUGCAGAAGAGGAAAGCGGAAUUCCACGUGUAGCGGUGAAAUGCGUAGAGAUGUGGAGGAACACCAGUGGCGAAGGCGGCUUUCUGGUCUGUAACUGACGCUGAGGCGCGAAAGCGUGGGGAGCAAACAGGAUUAGAUACCCUGGUAGUCCACGCCGUAAACGAUGAGUGCUAAGUGUUAGAGGGUUUCCGCCCUUUAGUGCUGCAGCUAACGCAUUAAGCACUCCGCCUGGGGAGUACGGCCGCAAGGCUGAAACUCAAAGGAAUUGACGG
RNAcentral lists this ribosomal RNA (926 nucleotides) under uncultured bacterium. RNAcentral's name for it is "bacterial SSU rRNA". It matches the Rfam family "Bacterial small subunit ribosomal RNA", at positions 8 to 916 of the family's 1533-position model. The record is from RNAcentral.